AAAUCUCAAAAACCCCUUUUCCAUUUCGAAAAAGGAUUUUUGGACUUGGAGGUUCAAUGCUUGCUUUUAAAAGCGAGCUCCUCUUAAAUAAAUUAGUGGGGUCCGCUUUGCCGAUCCUUGACGUGAUAAGAUAUUUCUACGUUUUGGAUUUGGCACUGUCUUUUGGACGUUCGCUUCUAACCGUCUUAAGGACGAAUGAUGGUGCUUCGGUCACCGCCAUAUACAUUGGCGGGAGGCUGGACCCACAAUAAAAC
This 254-nucleotide unclassified non-coding RNA is filed under the name uncultured Russula. RNAcentral's name for it is "sequence contains ITS2". The record is from RNAcentral. Lineage: Eukaryota; Fungi; Basidiomycota; Agaricomycetes; Russulales; Russulaceae.